Molecule: ribosomal RNA, 860 nt
Filed under: Escherichia coli
Lineage: Bacteria; Pseudomonadati; Pseudomonadota; Gammaproteobacteria; Enterobacterales; Enterobacteriaceae
Also listed under: 1 other name
Description: bacterial SSU rRNA
Rfam family: Bacterial small subunit ribosomal RNA
Source: RNAcentral
AAUGCGUAGAGAUCUGGAGGAAUACCGGUGGCGAAGGCGGCCCCCUGGACGAAGACUGACGCUCAGGUGCGAAAGCGUGGGGAGCAAACAGGAUUAGAUACCCUGGUAGUCCACGCCGUAAACGAUGUCGACUUGGAGGUUGUGCCCUUGAGGCGUGGCUUCCGGAGCUAACGCGUUAAGUCGACCGCCUGGGGAGUACGGCCGCAAGGUUAAAACUCAAAUGAAUUGACGGGGGCCCGCACAAGCGGUGGAGCAUGUGGUUUAAUUCGAUGCAACGCGAAGAACCUUACCUGGUCUUGACAUCCACGGAAGUUUUCAGAGAUGAGAAUGUGCCUUCGGGAACCGUGAGACAGGUGCUGCAUGGCUGUCGUCAGCUCGUGUUGUGAAAUGUUGGGUUAAGUCCCGCAACGAGCGCAACCCUUAUCCUUUGUUGCCAGCGGUCCGGCCGGGAACUCAAAGGAGACUGCCAGUGAUAAACUGGAGGAAGGUGGGGAUGACGUCAAGUCAUCAUGGCCCUUACGACCAGGGCUACACACGUGCUACAAUGGCGCAUACAAAGAGAAGCGACCUCGCGAGAGCAAGCGGACCUCAUAAAGUGCGUCGUAGUCCGGAUUGGAGUCUGCAACUCGACUCCAUGAAGUCGGAAUCGCUAGUAAUCGUGGAUCAGAAUGCCACGGUGAAUACGUUCCCGGGCCUUGUACACACCGCCCGUCACACCAUGGGAGUGGGUUGCAAAAGAAGUAGGUAGCUUAACCUUCGGGAGGGCGCUUACCACUUUGUGAUUCAUGACUGGGGUGAAGUCGUAACAAGGUAACCGUAGGGGAACCUGCGGUUGGAUCACCUCCUUACCUUAAAGAAGC